GGAAAGGCGCGCGAUACAGGGUGACAGCCCCGUACACAAAAAUGCACAUGCUGUGAGCUCGAUGAGUAGGGCGGGACACGUGGUAUCCUGUCUGAAUAUGGGGGGACCAUCCUCCAAGGCUAAAUACUCCUGACUGACCGAUAGUGAACCAGUACCGUGAGGGAAAGGCGAAAAGAACCCCGGCGAGGGGAGUGAAAAAGAACCUGAAACCGUGUACGUACAAGCAGUGGGAGCACGCUUAGGCGUGUGACUGCGUACCUUUUGUAUAAUGGGUCAGCGACUUAUAUUCUGUAGCAAGGUUAACCGAAUAGGGGAGCCGAAGGGAAACCGAGUCUUAACUGGGCGUUAAGUUGCAGGGUAUAGACCCGAAACCCGGUGAUCUAGCCAUGGGCAGGUUGAAGGUUGGGUAACACUAACUGGAGGACCGAACCGACUAAUGUUGAAAAAUUAGCGGAUGACUUGUGGCUGGGGGUGAAAGGCCAAUCAAACCGGGAGAUAGCUGGUUCUCCCCGAAAGCUAUUUAGGUAGCGCCUCGUGAAUUCAUCUCCGGGGGUAGAGCACUGUUUCGGCAAGGGGGUCAUCCCGACUUACCAACCCGAUGCAAACUGCGAAUACCGGAGAAUGUUAUCACGGGAGACACACGGCGGGUGCUAACGUCCGUCGUGAAGAGGGAAACAACCCAGACCGCCAGCUAAGGUCCCAAAGUCAUGGUUAAGUGGGAAACGAUGUGGGAAGGCCCAGACAGCCAGGAUGUUGGCUUAGAAGCAGCCAUCAUUUAAAGAAAGCGUAAUAGCUCACUGGUCGAGUCGGCCUGCGCGGAAGAUGUAACGGGGCUAAACCAUGCACCGAAGCUGCGGCAGCGACGCUGAUGCGUUGUUGGGUAGGGGAGCGUUCUGUAAGCCUGCGAAGGUGUGCUGUGAGGCAUGCUGGAGGUAUCAGAAGUGCGAAUGCUGACAUAAGUAACGAUAAAGCGGGUGAAAAGCCCGCUCGCCGGAAGACCAAGGGUUCCUGUCCAACGUUAAUCGGGGCAGGGUGAGUCGACCCCUAAGGCGAGGCCGAAAGGCGUAGUCGAUGGGAAACAGGUUAAUAUUCCUGUACUUGGUGUUACUGCGAAGGGGGGACGGAGAAGGCUAUGUUGGCCGGGCGACGGUUGUCCCGGUUUAAGCGUGUAGGCUGGUUUUCCAGGCAAAUCCGGAAAAUCAAGGCUGAGGCGUGAUGACGAGGCACUA
Molecule: ribosomal RNA, 1229 nt
Filed under: Escherichia coli
Lineage: Bacteria; Pseudomonadati; Pseudomonadota; Gammaproteobacteria; Enterobacterales; Enterobacteriaceae
Description: partial 23S ribosomal RNA
Rfam family: Bacterial large subunit ribosomal RNA
Source: RNAcentral